This 591-nucleotide ribosomal RNA is filed under the name Dothiora cannabinae. RNAcentral's name for it is "partial large subunit ribosomal RNA". It matches the Rfam family "Eukaryotic large subunit ribosomal RNA", at positions 52 to 656 of the family's 3401-position model. Lineage: Eukaryota; Fungi; Ascomycota; Dothideomycetes; Dothideales; Dothioraceae. The record is from RNAcentral.
GGAGGAAAAGAAACCAACAGGGAUUGCCCUAGUAACGGCGAGUGAAGCGGCAAUAGCUCAAAUUUGAAAGCUGGCCUUCUGGUCCGCAUUGUAAUUUGUAGAGGAUGCUUUUAGGCAGCCGCCGGUCUAAGUUCCUUGGAACAGGACGUCAUAGAGGGUGAGAAUCCCGUAUGUGACCGGCUCUGGCACCUUAUGUAAAGCUCCUUCGACGAGUCGAGUUGUUUGGGAAUGCAGCUCUAAAUGGGAGGUAAAUUUCUUCUAAAGCUAAAUACUGGCGAGAGACCGAUAGCGCACAAGUAGAGUGAUCGAAAGAUGAAAAGCACUUUGGAAAGAGAGUUAAAAAGCACGUGAAAUUGUUGAAAGGGAAGCGCUUGCAAUCAGACUUGGACUUGGCUGUUCAACCGGUCUUCUGACCGGCCUAUUCAGUCUUGUCCAGGCCAGCAUCAGUUUCGGCGGCCGGAUAAAGGCCCUGGGAAUGUAGCUGUCUCUUCGGGGACAGUGUUAUAGCCCAGGGUGUAAUACGGCCAGCUGGGACUGAGGUCCGCGCUUCGGCUAGGAUGCUGGCGUAAUGGUUGUAAGCGGCCCGUCUUG